Molecule: long non-coding RNA, 1139 nt
Filed under: Macaca mulatta (Rhesus monkey)
Lineage: Eukaryota; Metazoa; Chordata; Mammalia; Primates; Cercopithecidae
Description: lncRNA (ENSMMUG00000058004.1)
Source: RNAcentral
CUCCUUCUUUCUUAUUCUGCAUGUAGCAUAAUGUCUUUAAAAGCUGUUGCAAAAAUAACUGCUCGAUAUGUCACUCCAGGACACUAAUUGUUUAGUGGGACACACAUUUCCUGAAUUCAUUGCAGGGUUAUAGGUCAGUUGAUUUAUUAUUAUUUGUGCAAAAGCAAAUGGCUUUUGAAGUGAAGCUGCUUCCUGGCAACAGAGGACGAUCCCAGCCCUCCGAGUGUGCGUCUGCAGCUUACGCCUGGACGCAUCCCGGGACAGGGCUGUGGCCUUUCACAGGGCCUGACUGGUCUGGCUCUCUCACAUUGCACACUUCGCAAAGACCUGAACAACUGAGGCAGUCUGUUUCUGGAUGCUGGCAGUCAUUCAGAAACAUUUGCUGAGCACCUCGUGCCUGCUGAGUGGACCCACGUGAAGGAGAGCCAGGAGUGCAGAUCAUUAAAAAGCCUGUACUUUCUUACUCCGCAUUUGACCCCACAGAGAGAAAGUGCAUGCUCCUGAUUUGGGUAGAUCUAGAAUCUUCUUAUGAAUACGGUGAGUUGAGCAAGGGAUCCAAGUUCUUAUGAUACAUGAUAAGAAAGACCAUAGCUUGAUCAGACACAAAUAAAAGCCGAGCUUUUCUAAACUCCCUAGCACCAUCACCCCCUUAUCAACCAGUACACAGAGCUUAACAUCGCUAUACCAGAUAGUGAAUGUUUCUAAUAGGAAUGGCAAAUUCUUAUUGUGAAAGAGAUAAGGGUAUUCAUGUGUUAAUUCAAGAGAAAUACAUAUAUGGUUCUUUAAAUGAUUUACUUACUAAUAGCAUUAAGUAUGGUGUAAAGGAAUUUACAUACCCUAAUUCUCGUCUAUAUACUUUUUUUGGAUUUUUAAAGUGGCAACUUGUCUAAGUUGGCAUUAGUAUUAAGCCCUAACAUGAGACAGUAUUUAUAGCAUAAGAUUUUUGCCAUCUAUUUUUAAUUGUAGUGCUGUUUUAUCAAUAAGUCAUUUCAAUAGUUGAACAUUUGAAAAGAAGAAACAUGAAAACGAAUUUCUAAUUGUACAGUAUUGAAUACAUGAAAGUUCCUUUAAACUUACUCCAGAGUCUCAAUAAACAUGGUAAGUAUGUAGUAAUUCACAUUUACAACCACCAUAAAAAC